GGUAACAAUGACUGACCAAGAUAUUGCGCUUGGGCUGUAGGAGCCCCUCCGGAGUCUGUACACACCCCCAGUGAGCGUCGUCGACGAUAAAUAAAUAUGGAUGGCUCGGGCUGCACGCCGCAGUGGGUACUGGAAUGUACCAUCAUAUACAUUGCAUUGCAUUCAUGUAUUUGUAUUUAUACUAGUGUUUAGCUGCUCAGUUCCAUAUGUUGUUGUAUAUUUGGAUUUUAGCUUACUUUGUGUAUUUACUGGAUUUUCUUAUCUUCGGACUGUAGUUACUUUUAUUACUCACUGGGUCGGAGUACUCACUUUACUUCCUGCACCUUGUGUGCAGAUCCAGGGUAGUCUCAGGCUCAGUAGAUCCAGUUGAUCAGCAGAUGCAGCCUCUGGGAGUAUCGAGGUAGCUGCACGGCGUUCGCAGCCAUUGAUCUUCUCCCUCCUAUCCUAUCUCUUUAUUUCCGCAUAUCAGACUUUGGAUAUACCAUGUAUUAGGAUGAUAUUCUGUAUUCUAGAGGCUCAGAUUCGUGACACCGUGUCAUAGUGAGAUUAUAUUGUGUAUUUUGUUAAAAUUUUCAGUACUUUAAUCUUGCUUAAUUGAUAUUUUUUCC
This 608-nucleotide long non-coding RNA is filed under the name Nicotiana tabacum (common tobacco). RNAcentral describes it as "long non-coding RNA (NTAB_LNC000291)". The record is from RNAcentral. Lineage: Eukaryota; Viridiplantae; Streptophyta; Magnoliopsida; Solanales; Solanaceae.